This 292-nucleotide ribosomal RNA is filed under the name uncultured bacterium. Its description in RNAcentral is "partial 16S ribosomal RNA". It matches the Rfam family "Bacterial small subunit ribosomal RNA", at positions 505 to 796 of the family's 1533-position model. The record is from RNAcentral.
GUGCCAGCCGCCGCGGUAAGACGGAGGGUGCAAGCGUUGUUCGGAUUGACUGGGCGUAAAGGGCGUGUAGGCGGUUGGUCAAGUCUGAUGUGAAAGCCCGGAGCUCAGCCCCGGAAGGGCAUCGGAAACUAACCAGCUGGAGCGCGAUAGAGGAGGGCGGAAUUCCUGGUGUAGCGGUGAAAUGCGUAGAUAUCAGGAGGAACACCGGCGGCGAAGGCGGCCCUCUGGAUCGUUGCUGACGCUGAGACGCGAAAGCGUGGGGAGCAAACAGGAUUAGAUACCCUGGUAGUCC